GAAUGUGGGAAGAGAAAAGUCCAUUGCACUAUAAACAAGUGAAGUCCUUUGAGAUCAACGAAAGUCCCUCAGUCCCUUGGCUUAUAAACAAGAAAAGUCCCUAAAAUCAACGAAAAGUCCCUUGGACUAUAAACAAGAAAAGUCCCGUAAGAUCAACGAAAGUCCCUCAGUCCUUUGGACUAUUAGCAAAAAAAGUCUCCUAAAAUCAACGAAAGUACCUCAGUCCCUUAGACUAUAAACAAGAAAAGUCCCUUAAGAUAAACAAAGUCCCUUAGUCCCUUGAAUUAAAAACAAGAAAAGUCCAAUAAGAUCAACGAAAAGUCCCUUGGACUAUAAAGAAGAAAAGUCCCGUAAGAUUAACGAAAGUCCCUCAGUCCCUUACUAUAAAUAGAAAAAGGUCCCAUAAGAUCAACGAAAAUUCGCCUUGGACUAUAAACAAGAAAAAAUCCCUUUAAUAUCAACCAUAAUUAAAAAUACCGAUAUAUUUCGCGAUAUUUCGGCGGGAUACGCCGAUUUUUGGAGAAUCGACGUUUUAUAAUCCGGGAAUAAUCGAAUAUAUUCCCGAUAUAUUGAGAUGAAUUUUUUGUUUCGAGUGUCGGAAUGUAGGACUAUGCCAUUUUUUUGAAAUUCGAAAUUUCGCCUGGAUUUGGAAUUUUGAACCUUGAUAUCAACUAAAGUCCCUCCGUCCCUUGGACUAUAAACAAGAUUUGAAUGUAGGAAGAGAAAAGUCCAUUGGCUUACAAACAAGUAAAGUCCGCUGAGAUCAACGAAAGUCCCUCAGUCCCUUGGACUAUAAACAAAAAAUGUCACUUAAGAUCAACGGAAGUCCCUCAGUCGCUUGGAUUAUAAACAAGAAAGGUCCCAUAAGAUCAGCGAAAAUUCCCUUGGACUAUAAAUAAGAAAAGUCCCUUAAUAUCAACGAAAGUCCCUCCGUCCCUUGGACUAUAAACGAAAUGUGGAUGUAGGAAGAGAAACGUCCAUUGGACUAUAAACAAGUAAAGUCUGUUGAGAUCAAUGAAAGUCAGAAAGUCCCUUAAGACUAUAAACAAGAAAAAUCCCUUAAGAACAACGAAAGUCCCUCAGUCCCUUAAGAGUAUAAACAAAUAAAGUCCCUUAAGAUCAACGGAAGUCCCGCACACUCUUAAGACUAUCAACAAAUAAAAUCCCUUAAGAUCAACGAAAGUCCCGCAGUCCCUUGGAUUAUAAACAAGAAAAGUUCCUUAAGAUCUACGAAAAGUCCCUUUGACUAUAAACAAGUAAUGUCCGUUGAGAUCAAUGAAAGUCCCUCCGUCCCUUGGACUAUAAACAAAAAAGUCCCUUAAGAUCAGCGAAAGUCCCUUUGACUAUAAACAAGAAAAGUCCCUUCAGAUCAGCGAAAGUCCCUCAGUCCCUUGGACUAUAAACAAGUAGAAUAUGGGAAGAGAAAAGUCCAUUGCACUAUAAACAAGUGAAGUCCUUUGAGAUAAAUUAAAGUCCCUCAAUCUCUUGGACUAUAAACAAGAAAAGUUCCUUGAGAUCAAUGAAAAGUCCUUGGACUAUAAACAAGAAAAGUCCCUUCAGAUCAGCGAAAGUCUCUCAGUCCCUUGGACUAUAAACUAGUGGAAUGUGGGAAGAGAAUAAGUCCAUUGCACUAUAAAUAAGUGAAGUUCUUUGAGAUCAAUGAAAGUCGCACAGUCCCUUGGACUAUAAACAAGAAAAGUCCCUUAAGAUCAACGAAAUGUCCCUUGGAAUAUAAACACGAAAAGCCCCUUGGACUAUAAACAAGUAAGUCCCUUCAGAUCAGUGAAAGUCCCUCAGUCCCUUGGACUAUAAACAAGAAAGUCCCUUCAGAUCAGCGAAAGUCCCUCAGUCCCUUGGACUAUAAACAAGAUGGAAUGUGGGUAGACAAAAGUUUAUUGCACUAUAAACAAGUGAAAAAACCUUUGAGAUCAAAGAAAGUCCCUCAGUCCCUUGGACUAUAAACAAGAAAAGUCCCUUAAGAUCAACGAAAAGUCCCUUGGACUAUAAACAAGAAAAGUCCCUUCAGAUCAGCGAAAGUCCCUCAGUCCCUUGGACUAUAAACAAGAUGGAAUGUGGGAAGAGAAAAGUCCUUUGCACUAUAAACAAGUGAAGUCCUUUGCGAUCAACGAAAGUGCCUCAACCCCUUGGCCUAUAAACAAGAAAAGUCCCUCUAGAUCAACGAAAAGUCCCUUGGACUAAAAACAAGAAAAGUCCCUUGGACUAUAAACAAAAAAGUCGCUCCAGAUCAGUGAAAGUCCCUCAUUUCCUUGGACUAUAAACAAGUUGGAAUGUGGGAAGAGAAAAGUCCAUUGCACUAUAAACAAGUGAAGUCCUUUGAGAUCAACGAAAGUCCCUCAGUCCCUUGGCUUAUAAACAAGAAAAGUCCCUAAAAUCAACGAAAAGUCCCUUGGACUAUAAACAAGAAAAGUUCCGUAAGAUCAACGAAAGUCCCUCAGUCCUUUGGACUAUUAGCAAAAAAAGUCUCCUAAAAUCAACGAAAGUACCUCAGUCCCUUAGACUAUAAACAAGAAAAGUCCCUUAAGAUAAACAAAGUCCCUUAGUCCCUUGAAUUAAAAACAAGAAAAGUCCAAUAAGAUCAACGAAAAGUCCCUUGGACUAUAAAG
RNAcentral lists this long non-coding RNA (2624 nucleotides) under Aquilegia coerulea. RNAcentral's name for it is "long non-coding RNA (ACOE_LNC002331)". The record is from RNAcentral. Lineage: Eukaryota; Viridiplantae; Streptophyta; Magnoliopsida; Ranunculales; Ranunculaceae.